UUCAAGUUUUGGUAAUCAGGCGCCCACCUGUAGAACAAGGGAAUAUUUUUCAAGUUUCAAGUCUUGGUAAUCAGGCUCCCACCUGUAGAACAAGAGAUUAUCUUUCAAGUUGCAAGUCUUGGUAAUCAGGCGCCCACAUGUAGAACAAGGGAAUAUUUUUCAAGUUGAAAGUCUUGGUAAUAAGGAACUCACAUGUAAAACAAGGGAAUAUCUUUCAAGUUGUAAGUCUUGGCAAUCAGGCGUCCACCUGGAUAACAAGGGAGUUUUUUUCAAAUUUUAAAUUUUGGUAAUCAGGCGUCUACCUAGAGAACAAGGGAAUAUUUUCCAAAUUUCAAGUUUUGGUAAUCAGACGCUACCUGUAGAAUAAGGGAAUAUUUUUCAAGUUUCAAGUCUUGGUAUCAGGCGCAUAUCUGUAGAACAAGGGAAUAAUUUCAAGUUGUAAGUCUUGGUAAUCAAGCACCCACCUGUAGAACAAGGAAAUAUUUUUCAAGCUGCAAGUUUGGUAAUCAGGCGCCCACCUGGAGAACAAGAGAAUAUUUUUUAAAUUUCAAGUCUUGGUAAUCAGGCGGUCAUCUGUAGAACAAGGGAGAUAUUCCAAAUUUCAAGUUUUGGUAAUCAGGCAUCCACCUGGAGAACAAGGAAAUAUUUUUCAAAUUUCAAGUUUUGGCAAUCAGGCGCCCACCUGGAGAACAAGGGAAUAUUUUUCAAAUUUCAAGUUUUGGUAAUCAGGCGCCCACCUGUAGAACAAGGGAAUAUUUUUAAGUUUCAAGUCUUGGUAAUCAGGCGUCCACCUGUAGAACAAGGUAAUAUUUUUUAAGUUGUAGGUCUUGGUAAUCAGGCGCCCACCUGUAGAACAAGGGAAUAUUUAUCAAGUCGCAAGUCUUGGUAAUCAGGCGCCUACCUGUAGAACAAGAAAAUAUUUUUCAUGUUGUAAGCUUUGGUAAUCAGGCGCCCACCUAUAGAACAAGGAAAUAUUUUUUAAGUUGCAGGUUUUGGUAAUCAGGUGCCCACCUGGAGAACAAGGGAAUAUUUUUCAAGUUGCAAGUCUUGGUAAUCAGGCACCACUAGUAGAACAAGGGAAUAUUUUUCAAAUUUCAAGUUUUGGUAAUUUGGCGCCCACCUGGAGAACAAGGGAAUAUUUUUUAAAUUUCAAGUUUUGGUAAUCAGGCGUCCACAUGUAGAACAAGGGAAUAUUUUUCAAGUUGCAAGUUUUUGUAAUCAGGCACCCACCUGUAGAACAAGAGAAUAUUUUUCAUGUUGCAAGUCUUGGUAAUCAAGCGCCCACCUGUAGAACAAGGGAAUAUUUUUAAAGUUCCAAGUCUUGGUAAUCAGGCGCCACCAAUAGAACAAGGGAAUAUUUUUCAAGUUGCAAGUUUUGGUAAUCAAGCGCCUACCUGUAGAACAAGGGAAUAUUUUUUAAGUUGUAAGUUUUGGUAAUCAGGCGCCCACCUGGAGAACAAGGGAAUAUUUUUCAAGUUGCAAGUCUUGGUAAUUAGGCGCCCACCUGUAGAACAAGAGAAUAUUUUUUAAGUAGCAAGUUAUGGUAAUUAGGCGCCCACCUGGAGAAUACGGAGCUGGUAUGAGAGACCAUCAACAAACCUCCUUAUCCUCUCUCGAUCGAUGGGAACCAACCAAACUGCAUCUCGGGCUAACUCAGGGAAUCACAUCUCAUACUGCGUCACCAUCAUUUCCCCCUGAAUCAACUGCGUAAACUAUCUACGCAACUCCUUUCGGCGCGACUAUGGCACAUACUUCUCCAGGAAGAGAACAUAGAACUAAUACCACCCAAGGGGUUCUACACCAGCAGGCCUACACCUCUAAUACGCCUCCCACCAAGUGAAGGCAGCCCCAGAAAACUAAGUUCAAGAAUCCAAAACUUCCAAAACUAACCUCUCAUGCACCUCCCACCAAAGGUGGUAAACUCCACACCACUAGUCUCAAGAAUCCCUUUUGUACGAAGCAUCCGCUGGAACUUAUCCAAGAAACCUUGGGCAUCCUCGCCGUCUACACCGCUGAGUGUCAGAGGCUGGAGUCUACCAAACCUCUCAAGUCGAUGCUACUUAUCAUCUGGAAAAAUUGGUACUACAAACUCCUUAACUGGUGCAACCGGCUGGGCUGGAGGUGCCCCCGGUGUCUGAAGUCCCUACACAACCUGAUCAGGUGUGCGAGUAACGGGAGUCUGGAUCCCCUCCCCCCUCUCCCCCACCCCUGAUUUGUGAAGUAGUUGCGAUUAUAGUAGCUGAAGUAGCCUGAGCCAAAGCGGUACACACUGAUAAGAUAUGAGCUAAAGCCUCCUGGAGGCUUAGAAUCACGAUAGGCACAGUUGUGCCUGAACUGGUGCUGAUGGAGCAUCCACAGCUAGAGCAUGAUCCUGAGCUGGGGCAGCUGGUGGAUUAACAGGUGCUGCCCUCGCUACUCUACCUCUGCCACGACCACGACCGCGUCCACGACCUCUGGUGGCCUCAGCUGGUGGCACUGGUGGUCGUCCACCCCGUCCGAUAGCACGUUUCCUCACCAUCUAUGAGAGAAUAGAAUAAUAGAAGUUUAGUACUCGGACCGACAAGUUUGCAUGACAAGAAUUUCAAGAAUAUGAAGUUUUUCCUAAAGGUUCUACAGCCUCUCGAGGAUAAAUAUAUACGUCUUCGUACCGAUCUGCGAGACACUACUAAACCGACUCAUGACUCGCGAGACUUAUAUAACCUAGGCUCUGAUACCAACUCGUCACGACCCCAAUUACCGGUCGUGAUGGAGAAUAUCACAUUACUAGGCAAGCCGAUAGAAACCAUAACCACAACCCAUUUGCUAUUAACAUAAACCCAUUUCUAGCACAAGAUUUAAAUGCGAAAUUCUUUAUAUGUAUCAUAAUGUUAGAUAUAUGUAGAAAAUUGAAACAACAAAUACUAGUUAGCCCUAACAAUCUGGUGUCUAGAGCCUGUAAUACAUAACUGAACAUCUAGUACGUCAAGUCUAGGAAAUGCGAUAAAUAAACUAGAUAGAGAGGAGAAGCAGAACUACGGAUGCCAUGCAGCUACCUCGUAAUCUCCGGCGAACACUGAAUCAGUAGAAGGCCCUCACUCUGGCCCUCAGGCACCUAGAUUUAGGCACAAGGUGCAAGGAGUAACGUGAGUAUGCUAACUAAGUAACUAAAGUAAAUAAUGGACUGAAAGCAGUUACGAGCAUUUUAAAACAUAUAACUAAAAUAGAAACAGGAUUAUAGCUCAACUUUAUCGUUUAAAACCAGUUUUCGUCAAAAAAUCUACACUUUCAGCUUAAAACUUGAAAUGAUAUACUUAGCAGUAUUUUCCAACAGAGGCUUAGUUUUAAAGGAAACGUGAAACAGUGAAAACAGCAGAGCAAGGCCCCUCGGGCAAAGAAUCACUCAGAAUACAGCCCCUUGGGCAGCCUCUUGGUCGCUCGUGACUCACCUCUCGUCACACAGUACUCGCUCUCAAUACUCGGCUCAUUUAUAAUCUCAUAAUAUUAGAAUUAUAGUAACUGCUGCAGCGUGUAGCCCGACUACGUUCCAUAUAUUUAUAUCAAAUAUAUAUCACAGCGGUAUGCAUCCCCAUCCAUAUAAGUAUCACUGCGGCAUGAAGCCUGAUCCAUAAUAUGUAUACAUAUAAUAUCCCCACCAUGGGGUUCUUAACCUCUCUGUCAUAAGCGUCACAGCCUCUCAGGCAUCACAACAGAAAUUAGGGAACUCAGCCCAAACACUUCUCACAAUAGGAGUAGAAUGAUAAAACCAGUUUUAAAUAUUUAAUAGGUAAAACAUGACUGAGGAUAUGCUUUUUAACAAGCAAAGUGAGGAAAAAUGGUUAAAGUGCCCCAAAGGGUUUCUACAUAUCGGCACAAGACCCAAAACAUGGCAUAAACCCAAUAAUACAGUAUAAGGAUCCAAAAUUCGGAAUAAUAUAGCACGUUCAAAUAAAAUACGCAGCUUAAUAGUCUCUAUGAGAUGGACCAAGCCACAAUCUCCUACCAAUGCAUGCCCACACGCUCGUCACCUAGCAUGUGUGUCACCGCAUUUAUCAAAUCAAGUCAAAUAUCAGGGUUUGUACACUCAGUUCCGCAUUUAUAAUGGUUACUUACCUCAAACCGG
Molecule: long non-coding RNA, 4099 nt
Filed under: Nicotiana benthamiana
Lineage: Eukaryota; Viridiplantae; Streptophyta; Magnoliopsida; Solanales; Solanaceae
Description: long non-coding RNA (NBEN_LNC013287)
Source: RNAcentral